CCCUUAGAUGUUCUGGGCCGCACGCGUGCUACACUGAGUGGAUCAGCGGGUCAGGUUGCGCGAAAGUGUUUCCUAAUCUUGAAAUCCGCUCGUGAUGGGGAUUGACGGUUGCAAUUUUCCGUCAUGAACGAGGAAUACCUUGUAAGCGCGGGUCAUCAUCCCGCGCUGAAUACGUCCCUGCCCUUUGUACACACCGCCCGUCGCUCCUACCGAUUGAGUGGUCCGGUGAGGCUUUGGGAUCUGAGCGGAAAGAGCGUUUCGCUGUUUCUGCUCGGAAAACUCAGUCGAACCUUAUCAUUUAGAGGAUGGAGAAGUCGUAACA
RNAcentral lists this ribosomal RNA (322 nucleotides) under uncultured eukaryote. Its description in RNAcentral is "partial 18S ribosomal RNA". It matches the Rfam family "Eukaryotic small subunit ribosomal RNA", at positions 1470 to 1796 of the family's 1831-position model. The record is from RNAcentral.